AGUGAACGCUGGCGGUAGGCCUAACACAUGCCAGUCGAACGGCAGCACAGUAAGAGCUUGCUCUUACGGGUGGCGAGUGGCGGACGGGUGAGGAAUACAUCGGAAUCUACUUUUUCGUGGGGGAUAACGUAGGGAAACUUACGCUAAUACCGCAUACGACCUACGGGUGAAAGCAGGGGAUCUUCGGACCUUGCGCGAUUGAAUGAGCCGAUGUCGGAUUAGCUAGUUGGCGGGGUAAAGGCCCACCAAGGCGACGAUCCGUAGCUGGUCUGAGAGGAUGAUCAGCCACACUGGAACUGAGACACGGUCCAGACUCCUACGGGAGGGAGCAGUGGGGAAUGUUGGACAAUGGGCGCAAGCCUGAUCCAGCCAUACCGCGUGGGUGAAGAAGGCCUUCGGGUUGUAAAGCCCUUUUGUUGGGAAAGAAAAGCAGCAGGUUAAUACCCCGCUGUUCUGACGGUACCCAAAGAAUAAGCACCGGCUAACUUCGUG
RNAcentral lists this ribosomal RNA (492 nucleotides) under uncultured bacterium. RNAcentral's name for it is "partial 16S ribosomal RNA". It matches the Rfam family "Bacterial small subunit ribosomal RNA", at positions 29 to 507 of the family's 1533-position model. The record is from RNAcentral.